GAUGAACGCUGGCGGCGUGCUUAACACAUGCAAGUCGAACGAGAAAUGGAGACGGAAACCUUCGGGCGGAAGGCUUCAUUUCGAGUGGCGGACGGGUGAGUAACGCGUGGGUAACCUGCCUCAUACAGGGGGAUAACAGUUGGAAACGACUGUUAAUACCGCAUAAGACCACAGCACCGCAUGGUGCGGGGGUAAAAACUCCGGUGGUAUGAGAUGGACCCGCGUUCGAUUAGCCAGUUGGCGGGGUAACGGCCCACCAAAGCGACGAUCGAUAGCCGAUCUGAGAGGAUGACCGGCCACAUUGGGACUGAGACACGGCCCAAACUCCUACGGGAGGCAGCAGUGGGGAAUAUUGCACAAUGGGGGAAACCCUGAUGCAGCGACGCCGCGUGAGUGAAGAAGUACUUCGGUAUGUAAAGCCCUAUCAGCAGGGAAGAAAAUGACGGUACCUGAGGAAGAAGCCCCGGCUAACUACGUG
RNAcentral lists this ribosomal RNA (478 nucleotides) under uncultured bacterium. Its description in RNAcentral is "partial 16S ribosomal RNA". It matches the Rfam family "Bacterial small subunit ribosomal RNA", at positions 28 to 507 of the family's 1533-position model. The record is from RNAcentral.